RNAcentral lists this long non-coding RNA (210 nucleotides) under Elaeis guineensis (African oil palm). Its description in RNAcentral is "long non-coding RNA (EGUI_LNC002297)". Lineage: Eukaryota; Viridiplantae; Streptophyta; Magnoliopsida; Arecales; Arecaceae. The record is from RNAcentral.
UUCCUUUUCCUCUUAUAUAUCUUUUUUUGGGGGGUAGAAUUACUGUCUUCUUAUAAACCUUUUAAAUCUUUGAGUGAUCAUUGCCAUCUCAUCAUCAUUUUUCAAAUUAUUAGAUGAAUCACUUUCUAGCUCUUCCAUGACAAAUGAUUUUGGUGCAAUGAUUUUUCUUUCUUUCUAUAUUCUGGUUCAUGCUCAACUCAUAUCAUAAGU